UGUGGUUAUUAUAGCAAAGAGGAUACACCUGUUACCAUUCCGAACACAGAAGUUAAGCUCUUUAGCGCCGAUGGUACUUGGUGGGAAGCUGCCUGGGAGAGUAGGACGUAGCCGCGU
This 117-nucleotide ribosomal RNA is filed under the name Paraclostridium sordellii. The record is from RNAcentral. RNAcentral also lists the same sequence under 1 other name. Lineage: Bacteria; Bacillati; Bacillota; Clostridia; Peptostreptococcales; Peptostreptococcaceae.